This 249-nucleotide ribosomal RNA is filed under the name uncultured bacterium. Its description in RNAcentral is "partial 16S ribosomal RNA". It matches the Rfam family "Bacterial small subunit ribosomal RNA", at positions 15 to 265 of the family's 1533-position model. The record is from RNAcentral.
GAUCCUGGCUCAGGACGAACGCUGGCGGCGUGCCUAACACAUGCAAGUCGAACGGAAGCAAAGAUUUCGGUUUUUGCUUUAGUGGCGAACGGGUGAGUAACGCGUGAGGAACCUGCCUUUCAGUGGGGGACAACAGUUGGAAACGACUGCUAAUACCGCAUAAUGCUUUUGGAUCGCAUGAUUUAAAAGCCAAAGAUUUAUUGCUGAAAGAUGGCCUCGCGUCUGAUUAGCUGGUUGGUGGGUAACGCU